CUAGACCUGAAAUCAGCCGAGGAUACCCGCUGAAUUUAAGCAUAUUAUUAAGCGGAGGAAAAGAAAAUAACUAUGAUUCCCUUGUAACGGCGAGUGAAGAGGGAGGUGCUCAAAGUGUAAAUCGUGAUACCUCUUAUGGUACCGCGAGUUGUAGCCUCUAGAGGCGCUACCAGU
RNAcentral lists this ribosomal RNA (174 nucleotides) under Eimeria auburnensis. Its description in RNAcentral is "partial 28S rRNA". It matches the Rfam family "Eukaryotic large subunit ribosomal RNA", at positions 1 to 168 of the family's 3401-position model. The record is from RNAcentral. Lineage: Eukaryota; Apicomplexa; Conoidasida; Eucoccidiorida; Eimeriidae.